Molecule: ribosomal RNA, 1528 nt
Filed under: Klebsiella pneumoniae
Lineage: Bacteria; Pseudomonadati; Pseudomonadota; Gammaproteobacteria; Enterobacterales; Enterobacteriaceae
Also listed under: 3 other names
Description: bacterial SSU rRNA
Rfam family: Bacterial small subunit ribosomal RNA
Source: RNAcentral
AGAGUUUGAUCAUGGCUCAGAUUGAACGCUGGCGGCAGGCCUAACACAUGCAAGUCGAGCGGUAGCACAGAGAGCUUGCUCUCGGGUGACGAGCGGCGGACGGGUGAGUAAUGUCUGGGAAACUGCCUGAUGGAGGGGGAUAACUACUGGAAACGGUAGCUAAUACCGCAUAAUGUCGCAAGACCAAAGUGGGGGACCUUCGGGCCUCAUGCCAUCAGAUGUGCCCAGAUGGGAUUAGCUUGUAGGUGGGGUAACGGCUCACCUAGGCGACGAUCCCUAGCUGGUCUGAGAGGAUGACCAGCCACACUGGAACUGAGACACGGUCCAGACUCCUACGGGAGGCAGCAGUGGGGAAUAUUGCACAAUGGGCGCAAGCCUGAUGCAGCCAUGCCGCGUGUGUGAAGAAGGCCUUCGGGUUGUAAAGCACUUUCAGCGGGGAGGAAGGCGUUAAGGUUAAUAACCUCAUCGAUUGACGUUACCCGCAGAAGAAGCACCGGCUAACUCCGUGCCAGCAGCCGCGGUAAUACGGAGGGUGCAAGCGUUAAUCGGAAUUACUGGGCGUAAAGCGCACGCAGGCGGUCUGUCAAGUCGGAUGUGAAAUCCCCGGGCUCAACCUGGGAACUGCAUUCGAAACUGGCAGGCUAGAGUCUUGUAGAGGGGGGUAGAAUUCCAGGUGUAGCGGUGAAAUGCGUAGAGAUCUGGAGGAAUACCGGUGGCGAAGGCGGCCCCCUGGACAAAGACUGACGCUCAGGUGCGAAAGCGUGGGGAGCAAACAGGAUUAGAUACCCUGGUAGUCCACGCCGUAAACGAUGUCGAUUUGGAGGUUGUGCCCUUGAGGCGUGGCUUCCGGAGCUAACGCGUUAAAUCGACCGCCUGGGGAGUACGGCCGCAAGGUUAAAACUCAAAUGAAUUGACGGGGGCCCGCACAAGCGGUGGAGCAUGUGGUUUAAUUCGAUGCAACGCGAAGAACCUUACCUGGUCUUGACAUCCACAGAACUUAGCAGAGAUGCUUUGGUGCCUUCGGGAACUGUGAGACAGGUGCUGCAUGGCUGUCGUCAGCUCGUGUUGUGAAAUGUUGGGUUAAGUCCCGCAACGAGCGCAACCCUUAUCCUUUGUUGCCAGCGGUCCGGCCGGGAACUCAAAGGAGACUGCCAGUGAUAAACUGGAGGAAGGUGGGGAUGACGUCAAGUCAUCAUGGCCCUUACGACCAGGGCUACACACGUGCUACAAUGGCAUAUACAAAGAGAAGCGACCUCGCGAGAGCAAGCGGACCUCAUAAAGUAUGUCGUAGUCCGGAUUGGAGUCUGCAACUCGACUCCAUGAAGUCGGAAUCGCUAGUAAUCGUAGAUCAGAAUGCUACGGUGAAUACGUUCCCGGGCCUUGUACACACCGCCCGUCACACCAUGGGAGUGGGUUGCAAAAGAAGUAGGUAGCUUAACCUUCGGGAGGGCGCUUACCACUUUGUGAUUCAUGACUGGGGUGAAGUCGUAACAAGGUAACCGUAGGGGAACCUGCGGUUGGAUCACCU